This 497-nucleotide ribosomal RNA is filed under the name uncultured bacterium. RNAcentral's name for it is "partial 16S ribosomal RNA". It matches the Rfam family "Bacterial small subunit ribosomal RNA", at positions 28 to 507 of the family's 1533-position model. The record is from RNAcentral.
GAUGAACGCUGGCGGCGUGCCUAAUACAUGCAAGUCGAGCGAACAGAUAAGGAGCUUGCUCCUUUGACGUUAGCGGCGGACGGGUGAGUAACACGUGGGUAACCUACCUAUAAGACUGGAAUAACUCCGGGAAACCGGGGCUAGUGCAGGAUAACAUGUUGAACCGCAUGGUUCUACAGUGAAAGGCGGCUUUGCUGUCACUUAUAGAUGGACCCGCGCCGUAUUAGCUAGUUGGUGAGGUAACGGCUCACCAAGGCAACGAUACGUAGCCGACCUGAGAGGGUGGUCGGCCACACUGGAACUGAGACACGGUCCAGACUCCUACGGGAGGCAGCAGUAGGGAAUCUUCCGCAAUGGGCGAAAGCCUGACGGAGCAACGCCGCGUGAGUGAUGAAGGUCUUCGGAUCGUAAAACUCUGUUAUUAGGGAAGAACAAAUGCGUAAGUAACUGUGCGCGUCUUGACGGUACCUAAUCAGAAAGCCACGGCUAACUACGUG